This 252-nucleotide ribosomal RNA is filed under the name uncultured prokaryote. RNAcentral's name for it is "partial 16S rRNA". It matches the Rfam family "Archaeal small subunit ribosomal RNA", at positions 475 to 726 of the family's 1478-position model. The record is from RNAcentral.
ACCGGCAGCUCAAGUGGUGGCCAUUUUUAUUGGGCCUAAAGCGUUCGUAGCCGGUUUGAUAAGUCUCUGGUGAAAUCCCGCAGCUUAACUGUGGGACUUGCUGGAGAUACUAUUAGACUUGAGGUCGGGAGAGGUUAGGGGUACUCCCAGGAUAGGACUGAAAGCAUAAAACCCGGGGAGAACAACAGAUGGCGAAGGGCACUACCCGGAACCACCCCUACGGUGUUUAACGAAAGCCAGCGGUUCACCCAG